Molecule: long non-coding RNA, 87 nt
Filed under: Scleropages formosus (Asian bonytongue)
Lineage: Eukaryota; Metazoa; Chordata; Actinopteri; Osteoglossiformes; Osteoglossidae
Description: lncRNA (ENSSFOG00015027831.1)
Source: RNAcentral
ACAAGCCAUCCUCUACUUAAGCUAGGACUGCCCAAGGUGAGCUCCUUACUUCUCGGUAGCUCAUGAAUAACAUCCAAGUCCAUAUGG